Molecule: long non-coding RNA, 3319 nt
Organism: Oncorhynchus tshawytscha (Chinook salmon)
Lineage: Eukaryota; Metazoa; Chordata; Actinopteri; Salmoniformes; Salmonidae
Source: Ensembl
UGCAUUUCAAGGUGUUCAGUCGUUGGAUGCGGUGUUGUCUAUAAAGUGGGGCACAUAUAACGAAAAGGAGGGCAUCAAGGCAUUCAAAAUGUCUACAGGGAUGGAUGUGCUGGAGUCAUGGCUUUGGGUCACUGAGUCUGGGAUCCUGGGAGCCUCACCGGAUGGUCACAGCAGUGGUGAAGGUCAAGUGUCCCUAUGGUGCAAGCAAGGGACCUUACUGUUUCAGUAUGAUAUGUUGGAUAAAUGAAUAAAGACAGACACCAAUGUCAAGUUCAAUAGACUUGUUCAAGCAUUGUACAAAUUCCUACACGCGGAGUCCGGGGAACAGUCCGGCUAGUCGAUUACCUAUCAACUAGACUCCGUAAAAUCAUCCUUUUCAAUAGAAAGUGCAAACAUAACGGCAUAACAUUCAUAAAUUAACAGUCAAGUCAUAACAAUUGAAAAAGCAUGACAUUUUCUUUUUACUUCAGUUAUCAUCUCUUUUUUAAUUUAAGUUUAUUUUGAUUUAUUUUUAUAAAACAGAGGACAAGUUAACACAGUCUCUUGCUUACAGAGUAAGCCUGUCCUAUGGCUUGCACAGCCAACCCUCCCAUGACUCAUCUAGGUGAGUGUAUGCUGUGUUCUGGUUUGCUACGCGCAGAUCCACCCGAUUGCGACAAUAGAGGGAGCCACCAACAUCCACCAGGUAAGAACGUGGUGCAACUCUGUAGGCACGUGCCCAGCUUCCAAAGUCCUGUGUGGUCUCCCGUCAGUGGUUUCAUCCUUAUCGUUUCACCCACCUCCAGCUCUGGUAGGUCUCGCACUGUCUGGUCGUAGAAGCACUUAGCGGGCUGCUUUCUGUGACGCAGUUGUCCUUGACGCCAACCAUGACCCAGGGCUCAAGUAGCUUGUUAGCUGCGGGGAUAGUAGUCUUCAGACAUCUGGACAGAAGGUGUUGUGCUGGGCUGCUGUUCAUGUUUUCGGUGGGUGUGUUCCUCCACUGUAAGAUCACUUUCCAUGGGUCGUUGCUGUCAUGCAAGGCCCUGCUUAACAGUUUUUUUUGCAAUCUUGACAGCUGACUCUGCCUUGCCAUUUGCUUUUGGGUGUCUUGGAGAGGAGGUCACGUGGUCAAACACCCAUUCUGAGGCGAAACUCUUGAACUGUGCAGUGAAUUGUGGGCCAUUGUCCGUGAUGACCUUGUCAGGCUGACCUUUAUGACCGUCUCUGCAGACAAGUCAGGAAGCAGUUAAAAAGGUUUUUUAAAAAUUAAAAGGUGUUCGUUCUUGUCAGUGUGUUGCCUGAUCUGGGCUAGGCGGUGAUCUGUGACGUUUAAGUAGUUUGCCUUUAUUGAUCUGUUGAACAUCUUCUUGUUCCUGCUGUAGCGAACAGAUGGCAUGCUGCUGAUAGGCAGUGCCUCUGCCUGUACAUUGUGCUGUUGCCCUGCUCAGUGUGUCGCUGAUGUACAUCUCUGGUCCUGGCUUGUAGAUGACCUUCAGGCUGUAGUUUUGCAGAGUCAGGAGCAUGCUUUGAAGCCUCUUGGGCGCGUUGAGGAGAGGUUUACUGAAUAUGGCAAUGAGUGGUCUGUGGUCAGUUUCAGCGGUGACCAGCUCUCCGGCAUAGAGGCUCACAGACUGCUGAUAGGUGUGGCAUGAACUUUGCAAGAUAGUUUGCAAAUCUGAUGAGACACUGUACUCCUUUUGCAUCAGACGGGUUUGGCAUGUCGUGGAUCGCUCUGACUUUGUCUGGGUCCGGCUUCAAGCCUUUGGCCGAGAGAAUGUGGCCAUGGAAGAGGACGUAUUUCACCUUGAACUGCAGCCUCAUCAGCCAAGAUGAAGCUUAACCGUUCAGCAGCGCUCCAUCAGUGCCAGGAGCUUCACAUCAUGGUCGCGUUCUGCUUCUUCGUCUGUGUCACCACAGCCUAUGAUCAGGACAUCAUCGGCGAUGGGUUCAAUGCCCUUGAGCCCAGCCAGUAACUCGUACUGCUUACGUUGGUAUACCUCAGGCGCCACUGAGACACCAAACGGGAGCUUGAGCCAGCGUUUCCGACCCCAGGGGGUCCAGAAGGUAGUCGUGAAGUAGCUUUCUUCGUCCAGCCAAUGGCCCAAAAAUAUUCUACAUUGUUCAUACACACACACAAUAGGCUCCCAGAAUAUAUGUUAUAUUCAGUGGCGACCCGUCAUUCAUACUGUGAGGAUUCUGUGUUAUGCACUAUAGCCCUUACCAUGUCAUAUGUGAUGAAAUAUUAUUUGCUAUUGGCUUGUGUGGUUAUAUGUGUUAUGCAACAUAACAAUGUCUCAAGUCAGCUAACAGUUUCAGGGCCAUGGGCCUUUCUCGUGAUGGAAAAAUACAGAAUAACAUGAAGACAUGAACUGUGCAAUGAGUUGUGGGGGCACAUUCAGAAUGUAGUGUUGCUAGAACAAACACUCUUUUGUUAGAUAACAGGAGCAAGGUGUGAGAUAACUGUAUUGAGUGUGUGAGUGCAUAGAUAUUCUACACAACUACAACGACUGACCGCUGAAGUGCUUAGGGGGCUGAGACCAGCUCGGGCGCGAACAAUCAACGAUAGGCUGAGUGAGUUUAAACCACGCCCAGUCUCUACUCUGACAGGCCGGCUCGGAAGCAGGAACUACUUCUGUCAAGAGUAUAUUAUAAUAUCUUUGUCAGGAACAAGUCAGUUCUCUGUUUGCCCUGCGAGGUGGGACAGAGAGCCCGUAUAUAUACAAAAAUUGCAUUUACCACUUAUUGCUUAGCUAAUAAAAAAUACAUAGCAUAAAAUCGGUGACUCAGUGUCAUACUUAUCCUGAUACCAGAUUUGAUUGAUGCAACCCUAACACUACCCACCUAUUUUAAGUCCCACACUUUCAAGUAGCUGCAGCUGUACAUAGUCUAUUGGUAAAUAGCCCACCCAUUUUCACCUACCUCAUCCCCAUACUGUUUUUAUUUAUUUACUUUUCUGCUCUUUUGCACACCAAUAUCUCUACCUGUACAUGACCAUCUGAUCAUAUAUCACUCCAGUGUUAAUCUGCAAAAUUGUAACUAUUCGUCUACCUCCUCAUGCCUUUUGCACACAUUGUACAUUGUAUAUAGACUCCCCCUUUGUUUUCUACUGUGUUAUUGACUUGUUAAUUUGUUUAUUCCAUGUGUAACUCUGUGUUGUCUGCUCACACUGCUAUGCUUUAUCUUGGCCAGGUCGCAGUUGUAAAUGAGAACUUGUUCUCAACUAGCCUACCUGGUUAAAUAAAGGUGAAAUAAAAUAAAAUAAAAAAAAGUAUUUCAAAACAAUAUUGCCUGUUUUGCUUGUUAUUUUGGCAUUAAUAUGUGUCAUUGAGUUAAUAAAGCC